ACACCACUGCUUACAGCGUGGCAAUGCUCAACACUGCUUACAAUGAGGCAAUGCUCAACACUGCUUACAAUGAGGCAAUGCUAAACACUGCUUACAAUGAGGCAAU
Molecule: long non-coding RNA, 106 nt
Organism: Haliotis rubra (blacklip abalone)
Lineage: Eukaryota; Metazoa; Mollusca; Gastropoda; Lepetellida; Haliotidae
Exons: 3
Source: RefSeq, a predicted model, not a curated record